RNAcentral lists this unclassified non-coding RNA (315 nucleotides) under uncultured fungus. RNAcentral's name for it is "partial contains 5.8S ribosomal RNA and internal transcribed spacer 2". The stretch from base 1 to 133 matches the Rfam family "5.8S ribosomal RNA", at positions 22 to 154 of the family's 154-position model. Lineage: Eukaryota; Fungi. The record is from RNAcentral.
UGGUUCUGGCAUCGAUGAAGAACGCAGCGAAAUGCGAUAAGUAAUGUGAAUUGCAGAAUUCAGUGAAUCAUCGAAUCUUUGAACGCACAUUGCGCCCUCUGGUAUUCCGGGGGGCAUGCCUGUUCGAGCGUCAUUACAACCCUCAAGCCUUGCUUGGUAUUGGGUGACACGUCUCUGGUGCACCUUAAAAUUAGUGGCGGUGCCAUUCGGCUUCAAGCGUAGUAAUCUUCUCGCUGUGGAGUUCCGAAUUUGUUCCUGCCAAAACCCCCAUUUAUUUAAAAGGUUGACCUCGGAUCAGGUAGGGAUACCCGCUGA